UAGUACAGUUAACGGUACCAGUACUAGGACAGUAUUAGUACCGUUAACGGUACCAGUACUAGGACAGUAUUAGUACCAUUAACGGUACCAAUACUAGGACAGUAUUAGUACCUACUGGUAUCGUUAACGGUACUAAUACUGUCCUAAAGGAGCGAUACCCUAAAACAUGUGAAGACGUCACCGUGGAAACAGAUGUUUGAUUGAUCAGGAUAUUAAUCAAUAGUCAGUUGGGUUUCACGUUAUUUCUUUGACUCGUCUAGAAGAUUUAAAUCAGAAAGACAAUCAUCAUGAGUUAGUCCAGAUGUUGGAGAUGAUAAUCAUCUGUAAUAAUUAAACAUGUUCAGGGUUAAAGCCUUUUCUUUUAUUUUGAAAUCCCUCCUGCUGGUUUCCUGUCUGUGGUUCCUUCUGAUGUAACAGCUCGUCUCUCCACAACA
Sander lucioperca (pikeperch) is the source of this 434-nucleotide long non-coding RNA. RefSeq lists it as uncharacterized. The transcript has 2 exons. NCBI's taxonomy places the organism in Eukaryota, Metazoa, Chordata, Actinopteri, Perciformes, Percidae. The record is from RefSeq and is a predicted model, not a curated record.